GUGCAGCGCCGCGGUAAUACCGGCAGCUCAAGCGAUGGCCACUCUUCUUGGGCCUAAAGCGUCCGUAGCUGGCCGCGCAAGUCCGUCGGGAAAUCCACCUGCCCAACAGGUGGGCGUCCGGCGGAAACUGCGUGGCUUGGAACCGGAAGGCUCAGAGGGUACGUCCGGGGUAGGAGUGAAAUCCCGUAAUCCCGGACGGACCACCGAUGGCGAAAGCACUCUGAGAAGACGGCUUUGACAGUGAGGGACGAAAGCUAGGGUCUCAAACCGGAUUAGAAACCCGAGUAGUCC
This 291-nucleotide ribosomal RNA is filed under the name uncultured bacterium. Its description in RNAcentral is "partial 16S ribosomal RNA". It matches the Rfam family "Archaeal small subunit ribosomal RNA", at positions 455 to 747 of the family's 1478-position model. The record is from RNAcentral.